GGCGGGCGAGUGUGUUUAAUGUUAAAUCUUAUAGCUCAACUUUGAAAUUGCGUUAAAAACUGCUUGUCUUGAGUAUGGUAGGGGUAAAGGGAAUUCCCAGUGUAGCGGUGAAAUGCGUAGAUAUUGGGAAGAACACUAAACAGCGAAGGCACUUUACUAGGCUAAUACUGACGCUGAGAAACGAAAGGUAAGGUAGCGAAACGGAUUAGAUACCCGUGUAGUCUUACCCGUAAACUAUGGACACUAAACGGUAAAUUUUUAAUUUACUGUUAAAGCUAACGCGUUAAGUGUCCCGCCUGGGGAGUAUGCUUGCAAAAGUGAAACUCAAAGGAAUUGACGGGGGCCCGCACAAGCGGUGGAGCAUGUGGUUUAAUUCGACGGUACACGAAGAACCUUACCAGGAUUUGACAUGCUAGAUAGUUGCUUGAAAGAGUAACGUGCCGUAAGGAAUCUAGACACAGGUGGUGCAUGGCUGUCGUCAGUUCGUGUUGUGAAAUGUUGGGUUAAGUCCCGCAACGAACGCAACCCUUGUCUUUAGUUAUUUUCUAAAGAGACUGCCUGUAAUAAACAGGAGGAAGGUAAGGAUGAGGUCAAGUCAUCAUGCCCCUUAUGUCCUGGGCUACACACGUGCUACAAUGGGAAAGACAAUGAGCUGCAAAUCUGUAAAUUUAAGCAAAUCUCUUAAACUUUCUCGUAGUUCGGAUUGUGGGCUGCAACUCGCCCACAUGAAGUUGGAAUCGCUAGUAAUCGCCAGUCAGCUAUAUGGCGGUGAAUCCGUUCCCGGGCCU
Molecule: ribosomal RNA, 788 nt
Filed under: uncultured bacterium
Lineage: Bacteria
Description: bacterial SSU rRNA
Rfam family: Bacterial small subunit ribosomal RNA
Source: RNAcentral